AGAAAGUUUUAUUUUAGCUUAAUAAUUGACUUGUUGAUUUAAAUAUAUGUAAAUUCUAGUAAGUCUAAAUUUUAAAAAAAUUUAUUUGUUUGCAGUAUUUUUAAUUAAAUUUAAACUGGUUUUUGAUUUAGAAAUUUGACUUAGGUUAAACAAAAUUUGUGCCAGCAGUAGCGGUUAUACAAAUUAUUCGAGUUAAUUUUAUUAGGUUUAAUUUAAAGUAAUUUUUUAUUUUAAGUUUAUUUUUUUAAGGUGAAAUUUAAAAUUUAACUUAUAUUAAUAAUUAGUUUUUGAAGUUAAAAAAUUUAAUUUUUAAACUAGGAUUAGAUACCCUAUUAUUUUAUACGUAAUUUAUUUACCUGAAUUAUUUUUAGCUAUGGUCUUUAAAAUUAAAAAAUUUGGCGGUAUUUUAGUCUUUUCAGAGGAACUUGUUUUUUAAUCGAUAGUCCACGAUAAUUUAUACUUUUAUUUUAAAUUUACAUAUCGUCGUUUUUAAAAAUUUUUAGAGGAAAAAAAUUUUUGUGUUUUUUUAUUAAUAAAAAUUUCAGAUCAAGGUGUAGUUUAUAAAAAAGUUAAAAUGAGUUACUUUAUAUUUAUAUUUGGUUUUGUUUUUUAAAAAAUCAAUUAAAUUGGAUUUGAUAGUAAAAACUUUAUUUUUGGGUUUUGAUUAAGCUCUAAAAUAUGCACAUAUCGCCCGUCGCUUUCAUUUUAAAAUGGAAUAAGUCGUAACAAAGUAGGCUUAUUGGAAAAUGAGCCUGGAAUGAC
RNAcentral lists this non-coding RNA (762 nucleotides) under Cteniopus sp. AH-2016. The record is from RNAcentral. Lineage: Eukaryota; Metazoa; Arthropoda; Insecta; Coleoptera; Tenebrionidae.